UCGGAAGGUGCGGCUGGAUCACCUCCUUUCUAUGGAGAAUCGUUUCCUGCAACGGAAACAUUCGAACGUCGUUCUUUUCGAAGAACGACAAACGCAGAACACUUCGGUGGAUCUGUGGUCACCCAAGUGGUGACACACUCACUCGUUGUUCAGUUUUGAAAGAGUAAACCUCUUUCAAACUGUUGAUCCUUGAAAACUGGAUACCGAAAACGAAACAUCGCGUUUUAGAAUGUUUCUUCUCUACGACUGUGUGAAGCAGCAGUAGGCGAGAAAUAAUAUACACCGUUUCUAUUUAAAUAGAAACACUUAGGUUAAGCUACUAAGAGCACAC
Molecule: unclassified non-coding RNA, 331 nt
Filed under: uncultured bacterium
Lineage: Bacteria
Description: partial contains ITS between 16S rRNA and 23S rRNA
Source: RNAcentral